This 336-nucleotide long non-coding RNA is filed under the name Setaria viridis. RNAcentral's name for it is "long non-coding RNA (SVIR_LNC000670)". The record is from RNAcentral. Lineage: Eukaryota; Viridiplantae; Streptophyta; Magnoliopsida; Poales; Poaceae.
GGUAAGCUGCCGACCCCUUGUCCGCCUCGUCUGACCCUUCUGACGUCCGACCUUUGUCCGUCUCGUCUGACCCCUUUUAAUCGUCCGACCUUUUCCGUCUCGUCCGACCCCAGUCCGCUUCGCCCGACCCCUCUUAUCCGCCCGACCCCGGUUCUGUCUCGUGCGACCCUGUCUGUUCCGCCGCCCCUUCUCCGCCUCGCCCGAGGACUCGGCUGUAUCCUUUUUCUUCGAACCAAGGGUGUAUGUGUAAAACUUGGGGACCCUUCAGCGCUGAGUCUGAGGACCCCUAGCACACCAAAUCCUCUAGAUUAAGGGUCAGAUCAUAAGUUCCUUUCC